This is a long non-coding RNA of Eriocheir sinensis (Chinese mitten crab), 989 nucleotides long. RefSeq lists it as uncharacterized. The record is from RefSeq and is a predicted model, not a curated record. The transcript is spliced from 3 exons. Lineage: Eukaryota; Metazoa; Arthropoda; Malacostraca; Decapoda; Varunidae.
CACUAUAACUACUGUAGGCAGACACACUUCAGAAGUGGAUCUUCAUGUGCCUGGCAAUGUCUCUCUUUGUCUUAAAGAGCUUUCCACAAACAUCACAUUUGAACUCUCUAAGGCCAUAGUGCCUGAAGACAUGUCGAUUGAGUGCCUGCUUCACACUGAACCUCUUCCCACACUCUUCACACUCAUUACUUUUUACACCAGUGUGUGUAAGGGUGUGUGUAUCAAGGUGACUCUUCCGGAAGAAUUUUUUCCCACAUUCCUUACAUUCAUAGUUCUUCACACCAGUGUGUGUAAGGGUGUGUGUAUCAAGGUUACCCUUCAGGGUGAAUAGUUUCCCACAUUCCUUACAUUCAUAGUUCUUCACACCAGUGUGUGUAAGGGUGUGUCUAUCAAGGUGACUCUUCAGGAUGAAUUUUUUCCCACAUUCCUUACAUUCAUAGUUCUUCACACCAGUGUGUGUAAGGGUGUGUCUAUCAAGGGUACUCUUCUGGAUGAAUUUUUUCCCACAUUCCUUACAUUCAUAGUUCUUCACACCAGUGUGUGUAAGGGUGUGUAUCAAGGUGACUCUUCAGGAUGAAUUUUUUCCCACAUUCCUUACAUUCAUAGUUCUUCACACCAGUGUGUGUAAGGGUGUGUCUAUCAAGGGUACUCUUCUGGAUGAAUUUUUUCCCACAUUCCUUACAUUCAUAGUUCUUCACACCAGUGUGUGUAAGGGUGUGUCUAUCAAGGGUACUCUUCUGGAUGAAUUUUUUCCCACAUUCCUUACAUUCAUAGUUCUUCACACCAGUGUGUGUAAGGGUGUGAUAUCUGAGGCCUUGCCUUGUGGUGAAUUCUUUUCCACAUUCCAGACACAUAAACUUCCUCUCUCCUUUGUUGCUGGAGUUGCCAGCAGCCAGUUGCUUCAUCUGGUGACCACUGACCCUCCUGCCCCCUGCAGCAGUCUGCUCCUGCUUGUCCUGGCCACUCAUGCUGCUGUCCAGCCCUGCAGG